RNAcentral lists this ribosomal RNA (465 nucleotides) under uncultured bacterium. RNAcentral describes it as "bacterial SSU rRNA". It matches the Rfam family "Bacterial small subunit ribosomal RNA", at positions 338 to 795 of the family's 1533-position model. The record is from RNAcentral.
CCUACGGGCCGCACCAGUGGGGAAUACUGCACAAUGGGCGCAAGCCUGAUGCAGCCAUGCCGCGUGUAUGAAGAAGGCCUUCGGGUUGUAAAGUACUUUCAGCGGGGAGGAAGGUGUUGCGGUUAAUAACCACAGCAAUUGACGUUACCCGCAGAAGAAGCACCGGCUAACUCCGUGCCAGCAGCCGCGGUAAUACGGAGGGUGCAAGCGUUAAUCGGAAUUACUGGGCGUAAAGCGCACGCAGGCGGUCUGUCAAGUCGGAUGUGAAAUCCCCGGGCUCAACCUGGGAACUGCAUCCGAGACUGGCAGGCUAGAGUCUUGUAGAGGGGGGUAGAAUUCCAGGUGUAGCGGUGAAAUGCGUAGAGAUCUGGAGGAAUACCGGUGGCGAAGGCGGCCCCCUGGACAAAGACUGACGCUCAGGUGCGAAAGCGUGGGGAGCAAACAGGAUUAGAUACCCGCGUAGUC